GAGGGUAUAGCUCAGUGGUAGAGCACAUGCUUAGCAUGCACAAGGUCCCGGGUUCAAUCCCCAGGAACUCCA
RNAcentral lists this transfer RNA (72 nucleotides) under Camelus bactrianus (Bactrian camel). It matches the Rfam family "tRNA". From Rfam's summary of the family: Transfer RNA (tRNA) molecules are approximately 80 nucleotides in length. Their secondary structure includes four short double-helical elements and three loops (D, anti-codon, and T loops). Further hydrogen bonds mediate the characteristic L-shaped molecular structure. tRNAs have two regions of fundamental functional importance: the anti-codon, which is responsible for specific mRNA codon recognition, and the 3' end, to which the tRNAs corresponding amino acid is attached (by aminoacyl-tRNA synthetases). tRNAs cope with the degeneracy of the genetic code in two manners: having more than one tRNA (with a specific anti-codon) for a particular amino acid; and 'wobble' base-pairing, i.e. permitting non-standard base-pairing at the 3rd anti-codon position. The record is from Rfam by way of RNAcentral. Lineage: Eukaryota; Metazoa; Chordata; Mammalia; Artiodactyla; Camelidae. RNAcentral also lists the same sequence under 2 other names.